CUACGGGCCGCUGCAGUAGGGAAUCUUCGGCAAUGGACGGAAGUCUGACCGAGCAACGCCGCGUGAGUGAAGAAGGUUUUCGGAUCGUAAAGCUCUGUUGUAAGAGAAGAACGAGUGUGAGAGUGGAAAGUUCACACUGUGACGGUAUCUUACCAGAAAGGGACGGCUAACUACGUGCCAGCAGCCGCGGUAAUACGUAGGUCCCGAGCGUUGUCCGGAUUUAUUGGGCGUAAAGCGAGCGCAGGCGGUUAGAUAAGUCUGAAGUUAAAGGCUGUGGCUUAACCAUAGUACGCUUUGGAAACUGUUUAACUUGAGUGCAGAAGGGGAGAGUGGAAUUCCAUGUGUAGCGGUGAAAUGCGUAGUUAUAUGGAGGAACACCGGUGGCGAAAGCGGCUCUCUGGUCUGUAACUGACGCUGAGGCUCGAAAGCGUGGGGAGCAAACAGGAUUAGAUACCCCUGUAGUC
This 464-nucleotide ribosomal RNA is filed under the name uncultured bacterium. Its description in RNAcentral is "partial 16S ribosomal RNA". It matches the Rfam family "Bacterial small subunit ribosomal RNA", at positions 339 to 795 of the family's 1533-position model. The record is from RNAcentral.